Cordylochernes scorpioides is the source of this 73-nucleotide non-coding RNA. The record is from the annotation of a GenBank genome assembly. NCBI's taxonomy places the organism in Eukaryota, Metazoa, Arthropoda, Arachnida, Pseudoscorpiones, Chernetidae.
UCCAGGGUAGCUUAGUGGACAUGGCAUCUGCCCGGUAAGCGGAAGGUUGUGGGUUCGAUUCCCGCCCCUGGAC